AUUGAACGCUGGCGGCAUGCCUUACACAUGCAAGUCGAACGGCAGCACGGGUGCUUGCACCUGGUGGCGAGUGGCGAACGGGUGAGUAAUACAUCGGAACGUACCUUAUCGUGGGGGAUAACGCAGCGAAAGCUGUGCUAAUACCGCAUACGCCCUGAGGGGGAAAGCGGGGGAUCGCAAGACCUCGCGCGAUUAGAGCGGCCGAUGCCUGAUUAGCUUGUUGGUGGGGGAAAAGCCCACCAAGGCGAAGAUCAGUAGCUGGUCUGAGAGGACGAUCAGCCACACUGGGACUGAGACACGGCCCAGACUCCUACGGGAGGCAGCAGUGGGGAAUUUUGGACAAUGGGGGCAACCCUGAUCCAGCAAUGCCGCGUGAGUGAAGAAGGCCUUCGGGUUGUAAAGCUCUUUUGUCAGGGAAGAAACACCGGCUCUAACACAGUCUGGGAAUGACGGUACCUGAAGAAUAAGCACCGGCUAACUACGUGCCAGCCGCCGCAGUAA
This 501-nucleotide ribosomal RNA is filed under the name uncultured bacterium. Its description in RNAcentral is "partial 16S ribosomal RNA". It matches the Rfam family "Bacterial small subunit ribosomal RNA", at positions 29 to 523 of the family's 1533-position model. The record is from RNAcentral.